GACGAACGCUGGCGGCGUGUCUAAUACAUGCAAGUUGAGCGAUGAAGAUUGGUGCUUGCACCAAUUUGAAGAGCAGCGAACGGGUGAGUAACGCGUGGGGAAUCUGCCUUUGAGCGGGGGACAACAUUUGGAAACGAAUGCUAAUACCGCAUAACAACUUUAAACAUAAGUUUUAAGUUUGAAAGAUGCAAUUGCAUCACUCAAAGAUGAUCCCGCGUUGUAUUAGCUAGUUGGUGAGGUAAAGGCUCACCAAGGCGAUGAUACAUAGCCGACCUGAGAGGGUGAUCGGCCACAUUGGGACUGAGACACGGCCCAAACUCCUACGGGAGGCAGCAGUAGGGAAUCUUCGGCAAUGGGCGAAAGUCUGACCGAGCAACGCCGCGUGAGUGAAGAAGGUUUUCGGAUCGUAAAACUCUGUUGGUAGAGAAGAACGUUGGUGAGAGUGGAAAGCUCGUCAAGUGACGGUAACUACCCAGAAAGGGACGGCUAACUACGUG
This 497-nucleotide ribosomal RNA is filed under the name uncultured bacterium. RNAcentral describes it as "partial 16S ribosomal RNA". It matches the Rfam family "Bacterial small subunit ribosomal RNA", at positions 28 to 507 of the family's 1533-position model. The record is from RNAcentral.